CUUGGCGGCGAGCGGCGGACGGCUGAGUAACGCGUGGGAAUUUGCCCCAAAGUGAGGAAUAACUGCCCGAAAGGGUGGCUAAUGCCGCAUAUGAUCUUCGGAUUAAAGGAUUUAUCCGCUUUGGGAGAAGCCCGCGUCGGAUUAGGUAGUUGGUGAGGUAAUGGCUCACCAAGCCGACGAUCCGUAGCUGGUCUGAGAGGAUGACCAGCCAGACUGGAACUGAGACACGGUCCAG
Molecule: ribosomal RNA, 235 nt
Filed under: uncultured Rhodospirillales bacterium
Lineage: Bacteria; Pseudomonadati; Pseudomonadota; Alphaproteobacteria; Rhodospirillales
Description: partial 16S ribosomal RNA
Rfam family: Bacterial small subunit ribosomal RNA
Source: RNAcentral